UCCCUGGUGAUCCAGUGGCUAAGACUCCACACUCCCAAUGCAGGAGAUCCAGGUUCAAUCCCUGGUCAGGGAA
This 73-nucleotide transfer RNA is filed under the name Odocoileus virginianus texanus. It matches the Rfam family "tRNA". Rfam says of the family: Transfer RNA (tRNA) molecules are approximately 80 nucleotides in length. The record is from Rfam by way of RNAcentral. RNAcentral also lists the same sequence under 6 other names. Lineage: Eukaryota; Metazoa; Chordata; Mammalia; Artiodactyla; Cervidae.